CCCAUAAAGUAGAAAGCACUACUAGACAGGACUGAACGCUGUAGUGUUUCCUACUUUAUGGAUG
RNAcentral lists this microRNA precursor (64 nucleotides) under Xenopus laevis (African clawed frog). RNAcentral describes it as "Xla-Mir-142-P2b1-v4_pre stem-loop". It matches the Rfam family "mir-142 microRNA precursor family", at positions 12 to 75 of the family's 85-position model. Lineage: Eukaryota; Metazoa; Chordata; Amphibia; Anura; Pipidae. RNAcentral also lists the same sequence under 1 other name. The record is from RNAcentral.